Molecule: long non-coding RNA, 344 nt
Organism: Passer domesticus (house sparrow)
Lineage: Eukaryota; Metazoa; Chordata; Aves; Passeriformes; Passeridae
Exons: 3
Source: RefSeq, a predicted model, not a curated record
GUGCUGCAUUGUGCAUGUUGGCUCAAAAGAACUUAGAGCGGAAGGAUGCAGAGAUUUUGGAGAGAGAGAUGAAGAAAAGGAGGCAAAGGAAAACAUCCUUGCAGCCCAUUCUGGAGACAGUUGAGCCCGGGGAUGAAGCUGAAGCAAGCUUUAGCCUCCCACCUGUUGAUGGCACAGCUUCUAGAGUGCAGAGAAAACACCCUGGUAGUGCCUUGAAGAAGAAGGUCUUGAAGAAGCAGGACAAUGUGUCCUUACUGCCCAAUAGGCCCAUCAUCCAUGGGGAUAGCAGCUUCCCACGCAGCUCCUCAGCCAUAGAGAAGAUGCGUUAGAGAGAGAGGAAUGAA